UUUUAGUCAUCUUCAGAUGUAUAGUUUUAGCUUGUGAUGCUAUUUCGAGAUAAACCUGCAUAACUGUGCUCACAGGCAACUGAAAUGUCAUCCCACAAUGUUGUUUUAUCUGAACCAACCUUAUGAUAUCGAAGUGAGUGCUUAUCAGCAUGAGCAACUGAAAUUGUUCUUUAGUGCAGUCAAUGGCUCCAGCACUCUUAGAUCCUCAGUAUCACGGUUGUGCUAGAUGACUGACUGAAACUUAGUUUCAGGUGAUUGUAUUGUUUCUCCUCGCUACCAACACCCCAAGUUUCUUUCUUUUCCUUAGUAGUUUGUUAUACUGAUAGAGUGGAGAGGAGCGUUUUGGUGGCCGCGCACCAUGGAGGCCGAAACCGCGUGCAAUAGCACUGUGAUGUGUGCUGCUUAGUUUCCAUUUUCUUAUACGCGCUCCAUUAACUGCAAAUACAUCAGUGCCAUGGCCUCCAGUGCUGUGUUUAUACACGGGCCUACAGCCCGGUGGUAUUUGUAUGCACAUGUGUACCAACUGGGCUAGUCUCGCACAGGUAGGCGCGGGCUGGUGGGUAGUUAAUAAUCUUUAUGGAUGGGCCCAUGGCCAUCUGUUAGCUUGCAAUUAAUUCGACUGUUCGACAUAGUGAGCAAGUUUCCCUGCCUCACCAGACCAUUCAUCCCUUUGAGGCGGCAGCUGGGCGUGCGACGGUUCGCCAUGGAUGUGCUCGAGUUCUUCUCCGAGGAAGACGAAUCAGGGUAAACUCUUGCAUGAUCUUUCCCUAUAUGGUCUUGUUCUAUUGCUAUGAGCAAGUUAUGGCUGUAGCGCUUGUUGCAUGUGCUAGCUAGUGUUGUCGGAUAUUCCUGUGAUUCGUUGCAGUUUCAUUCCUAGGACCGUUGCCAGGUAGUUGUUGGGAGGAGAUGUGUCUACUGUCCAAUCUGUGGUUGCUUCAAUCGAUGAAGCUCGCGCGGACUGCGAAGACCUGAUUUCCACUGAUCCCACAUUUGUUCACUGUGAUGGAGAGCAGCGCAGUUUCGGCCAGCGCGUUGAAGACACAAUGUUGGUAGAAGAGGGGGCUGGUUCAUACGGCGUUGCCAGCAAGGUUGUUGCCGAUUGAUAUGAUCUGGCUCAUUAGGAUGUCAACGAUACACCGAUCAGAGAAGAUGGACAUGCAGAGGGCGUGGUCUCCAACUUAAAAGGCUCCUGCUGGUCUCGAAGGUGAUGAUCCAGCUUGGGCUGCAAGAGGUUCCUCCAAAAUAGAUACUGAAAAGAUGACCAGGGAUGCAAGGUAUAUACUACCAGCAGAGUUUCUGUGGUACCAGAAAGACCAAGGACCUCUCAAGUACUCAUCACGGCAGCAUAACAACCUUCAUUUGUUGUGCCUGGAAAUUGUGAAAUUAGGCAACAGCAAUGUGGAUGCAUAUACUCUUGCUAUGGAGCAAGUGAGAAAUGUGAAAACAAUACAGAAGCCUAUUGCUGCUAUACGUGAUGGAUCAGAGUUAGGGCAUAAACAACAUUUUGGUCGGGCAAAUCCAGCAUAGAGUGCCUCGCAAUGUUCUGAUAGUUUUGCAGCACCAUCAAAGAUAAGGACAGCUCGACGCCCUAGCACAAGUCGCGACAAAGCACCAUAUGGGCAACCAGCUAAUAGGUCUAGGUUCUGUUCUAUAUGCAGAGGUCACAAGAGUACCACUUGUCCGCAACGAGGGGAUCUUCCAAAGGCGCCGAGGAAGUCGCCUCGAUGCUCCUGAUGCAGAUUAUGAGCUCAUAGGAAGAACACUUGCACCACCGCCCCAGCCAGACUUUCGAGACUGAUUUUGUAACAGCUUGUGUCUGAAAGUUCACUUUGUUCACUUGGCAAAAUCUACAUUUAUCGAGUUUGCACUAUAAUGCAGCUAUGGGUGUGAUUUGUUUUGCUUUUUGUGACGCUGUUGCCGAGUCCUUGGUUAACUGAUAUAAUACGCUAAAAUUAUGGUGUUGAUGUGAGUAGGUGAUGUUUAGUUUAACUUUUUCAGUUUGGAAAU
Molecule: long non-coding RNA, 2007 nt
Organism: Triticum aestivum (bread wheat)
Lineage: Eukaryota; Viridiplantae; Streptophyta; Magnoliopsida; Poales; Poaceae
Exons: 3
Source: RefSeq, a predicted model, not a curated record